Drosophila melanogaster (fruit fly) is the source of this 677-nucleotide non-coding RNA. NCBI's taxonomy places the organism in Eukaryota, Metazoa, Arthropoda, Insecta, Diptera, Drosophilidae. The record is from Ensembl.
AGGAAAAGUCGCUUGAAUGCAUCUCGCCGAGUCGAGCAUCUCGACAUCUAGCGCAUAUUCAAUUGACUCCGGCCGCCGAGGCAGAGGCACCCAAUCAGUGCUAAACACAUUGGCAUUUCGCUAAAUGAGUGUGGGUACAUAACUCAGGACCCAACAAUGCCGCUUUUUAGGCCCAUCCAACUGCCAAGGCGGUUGCACUAAUUGCGCUAAUAAUGGGGAUUACCUCAGAGCGCAAUCUGAGUCGGCUCGAAAACCCAGCGAAAGGUAACUAACACCGCGCUAAAGAUUUCCAAACCUAGGUAAGAGAUACACUCGCAGAAAUUGGUUUUACCGCAAAUUCACAGAGCAUUGAACUGCAUCAUAUGCAUUUGUGCUGCCAAAUUUCAAGCUAUUGAUUUUCUCCCAGUGCAGCUAAGUAAAGCAAAGAAAAGCAAGUCAAAGCUAAAUAAAAUCGAGUCUAGUCGACGACGCCAACGCACUAAUGGGCGCUUUGUGGUGCCAACUGCUCAUGUGCUCAUGUAGGGGGAUUUCACCCGUGCAGAUGCAGUGCACCCACUUCACGCCGCCUUCUCCGCCACCAGCAGCUCCAACUGCAUGGGAAUGCGCUGGCUGCCUGGCUGGCUGGCUGGCUGGGCUCCUUUGCAUGCGACGGGCGUUUAUUGUAAUUUCAUUAAACG